UACGUAGGGGGCAAGCGUUGUCCGGAUUUAUUGGGCGUAAAGAGCGUGUAGGCGGCUAGGUAGGUCCGUUGUGAAAACUCGAGGCUCAACCUCGAGACGCCGAUGGAAACCAUCUAGCUAGAGUCCGGAAGAGGAGAGUGGAAUUCCUGGUGUAGCGGUGAAAUGCGCAGAUAUCGGGAGGAACACCGGUGGCGAAGGCGGUUCUCUGGGCCUGUACUGACGCUGAGGAGCGAAAGCGUGGGGAGCGAACAGG
This 253-nucleotide ribosomal RNA is filed under the name uncultured bacterium. RNAcentral describes it as "partial 16S ribosomal RNA". It matches the Rfam family "Bacterial small subunit ribosomal RNA", at positions 524 to 776 of the family's 1533-position model. The record is from RNAcentral.